UACAGAGGUCUCAAGCGUUGUUCGGAUUUAUUGGGCGUAAAGAGCGUGUAGGCGGCCAGGUAGGUCUGCUGUGAAAACUCGAGGCUUAACCUCGAGAUGUCGGCGGAAACCAUCUGGCUAGAGUCCGGAAGAGGAGAGUGGAAUUCCUGGUGUAGCGGUGAAAUGCGCAGAUAUCAGGAAGAACACCCGUGGCGAAGGCGGCUCUCUGGGACGGUACUGACGCUGAGACGCGAAAGCGUGGGGAGCGAACAGG
Molecule: ribosomal RNA, 253 nt
Filed under: uncultured bacterium
Lineage: Bacteria
Description: partial 16S ribosomal RNA
Rfam family: Bacterial small subunit ribosomal RNA
Source: RNAcentral